CAGCAACUAGGCAACCGAGGACAUGUACAGUAACAAGCAAGAGUUGCUUCGGGGCUGGAAGCUGCCUUCCCCAGCAGAGGUGAUGGGGCAAAUGCUCAAAGACCUGAGAUUUUUAUUUUCUCUUAUGUGGCUUCUCAGUUGGUUGCGUUGCAGGAUAAAGAAUCACAGGUGUUUGUGGCAACGAAGAACAAAAUGACCACCGUUUGGAGCGCUCGCUGCCAGGCUUCAGGUUAAGGUGCCAGGAGUUUUACCCCAACACCGAGGGAAAGACAAAUGCAACAGUAUCCUAACCAGCCUCCCUUUCCCACCUAUACCUCGUAGGCACAUGGAGCUACUUCUCACUGUUGGAGCAGAUUCUGAUGCGCCUCAACAGUCAGUUCCUCUGUUCUCCUCACCCAUUUAUCUUCGGAUCUGGGAGGUCAUCUCCUCUGGAAAGCCAUGACUCCCUGAAAUGGGGUCAGGUUACCCUGCUCGGCACUUGCACAGCACCCGUUUACCAGGGCACGGGAGCUUUAGUAAGGAGCUUCUGACAAUCGGGGCCCCUCUGGCGCCUGCCCCUCAUCUUGGCAAGCACUCAAGAGUGAUUCUCUGCUCACCACACUGACUCCUCGACUUUUAAGCUCCCUCCAUGAGGCUGACUGAUGCAACUUGGUAACAGCACGUUGAAUUUAGGCACCAAUGCCAUGCCUGUCAUGUGAGAGGUGUCUGUCUGAACGAAAAAGAUGAGAGUUUUACGUUUGCCCUGUGAGUCCCAGUCCUGAAUUCUCAACAAUCUCAAUGUGCCUAUCAUCUGGAUAAGGAUCCAGACUCCACCCAGAGAGAAGGCACCAUGGCCAUCACCCGAGGCAGCAGGGUCCAUGCCUGCUCUCUACUAGUAGGUCAUGCCAAUGUAGGUGUUCUCUCCCCUCUGGUCACACAAGAAAGGCCUCGGCUGCCCUCACUGCCGCCCAGCACUGGAGCCCACCGGGGUGACGGUGUUCCAGGCCCCUUUCCAGCCCUCUGGCUAGCAACUGCACCAUGCCUUUCCCCCUCUGGGUUCAGGUGACAUUUAAGCUUAGCUGUGCUUUUUCCACACCGUGUGACACCACAUUUUUAUGGCAAUAUAAUCUACUGAGGGGAAACUGACUGCCAGAAAAUUGGUCCCUUUUCUUAGUGCAUCCCAGCAAUACCACAUUCUACUGGGACUUCUGAUUUUCUUACUAAGAACUCCUAUUAAAUAAACUAAGUUCCUGGAGAACAGUGCGCAUAUUAUCCCCAGUAACUACCAUGGUACCUAGAAUAUAGUAGGUGCUCCAAAAAAAGUAUCUGAAGGGAUUAAAUGAGAUAUUAUAAAGUUCUUACCACAGUGACUGGGACACAGGACACAGCGGAAGCCGAUCUGAUUUUGAUAUAAUGACACUGACAACAAUGUUAGGGUUUACGCAGAGAUUCAGUAAUUUUUUGCUCUAUUGGCCUCGUUGACAAUGUGCAAAGUGUUAUUUGUUAGGACCCAGUGAUCUUAGCAUGUGUCCAAGGGCAGUGAGAAAUGACACAGUUAAUGAAUCUUAAAACCCUCUGUUCGUUCUGCUCUUGGGUGAUAAAUUUUUGUCAUUCAUUUCCACUGUCUUCCCAGGAUUUCACUGUAGACUCACAGCUAAAAAGCCACGUAGUCACUGAAAUCCAUGGGCCCUCAUUUGAUUACUUGUGCUGCACAUUUUGAUUAGGCACAGCCAACGUGUUUCCAGGCAGGGCAAGUUAUCCCCACAGAAUGCACAGCGAACCCCUCAGAAGACAGUACUGACCAGUUUAAUAAAAGGGGUGGCGGUGAUCCUGGAGUUUCAGAAACCACUUGACAGAGUUCCAUAUCAAAGGUUAACAGCCAGUGUAGGACAGCCAUAAACUGAGAGGGAAAUUGGGAUUAGACUGAGAAAAGACUGACCAACAGAAAACAAAGAAAAUGUUCGAGGAGGACCGGGAAGUCUUACAUGCCGCCUGAGCUGGUGAUGAAUUCCAGGAUUUUUAGGUUACUCUAAAACAUCUGAAGGGAAAGCACUCUGGGUACUUGAGGCGCACAGACCCAUUAGAAAAAGAGACCGUAAUGAAACACUGGAAAGAGAACUAGCACAUCCAGCCUGGCACGUGAAAAGAGUCAUUCCCUGAACUCUGAAAUGGUAACUUGCUAGAGCACUUGGAAUGAGAGCUGGAAGGAAACUCUUAAAAGGUCAACCUAUGAAGUUCAGCAAAGAAGAACGUUUGUAAGAGGAGGACAAACAGAAGACUGUUUUGUCAACUAAGGAUUACUUUGAAAAAAUUCUUCCUUGAGAGGGAAAUGGAAAGGUGAUAUGCAAACCACCAUUCUGACAUAACUUUUGUUUUUCCCCAAUUAGCCCUGGUAAUAAGGCAGAACUAAGCCGUUUCGGUCAAGUAAAGGGAAGUAAUGUGA
Long non-coding RNA from Felis catus (domestic cat), 2422 nucleotides. RefSeq lists it as uncharacterized. The transcript is spliced from 2 exons. The record is from RefSeq and is a predicted model, not a curated record. NCBI's taxonomy places the organism in Eukaryota, Metazoa, Chordata, Mammalia, Carnivora, Felidae.